AACCAUAAGGCUAGAUCGUGACAGGUAAGCGAAAUCUUAGGAAAGUAGCGAAGCACAUGAUGACGGCUUCCAGGAAAAGCUUCUGGCAAUGCAUAUGCGGCCCGUACCAAAACCGACACAGGUGGGCAGGGAGAGAAUCCCGAGGUGAGCGAGAGAACUGUUGCCAAGGAACUCGGCAAAAUGACUCCGUAAGCUAGCGGGAAGGAGUGCUUAAGCAAUUAAGCCGCAGUGAAGAGGCCCAAGCGACUGUUUAACUAAAACACAGCUCUCUGCGAAGUCGCAAGACGAAGUAUAGGGGGUGACACCUGCCCGGUGCUGGAAGGUUAAGAGGAUCUGUUAAGAGCGAUCUGAAGCAGUGAUCCGAAGCCCCAGUGAACGGCGGCCGUAACGAUAACGGUCCUAAGGUAGCGAAAUUCCUUGUCAGGUAAGAUCUGACCCGCACGAAAGGUGUAACGAUUUGGGCGCUGUCUCGGCAGCAGACUCGGUGAAAUCUUAGUACCUGUGAAGAUGCAGGUUACCCGCAACUAGACGGAAAGACCCCAUGGAGCUUUACUGCAGCCUGAUAUUGAAUUCUGGUCAUACAUGUACAGGAUAGGUGGGAGACAAAGAGACGUGCACGCCAGUGUACGAGGAGUCGACGUUGGGAUACCACUCUUGUGUGACUGGGGUUCUAACCUGGUAUCGAGAACAGGUACGGGGAGAGUGUCAGGUGGGCAGUUUGACUGGGGCGGUCGCCUCCCAAAGAGUAACGGAGGCGCCCAAAGGUACGCUCAGAUUGGAUGGAAACCAAUCGUCGAGUGCAAUUGCAGAAGCGUGCUUGACUGUGAGACAGACAAGUCGAACAGGGACGAAAGUCGGGAAUAGUGAUCCGGCGGUGCCGAAUGGAAGGGCCGUCGCUCAACGGAUAAAAGCUACCCUGGGGAUAACAGGCUGAUCUCGCCCAAGAGUUCACAUCGACGGCGAGGUUUGGCACCUCGAUGUCGGCUCAUCGCAUCCUGGAGCUGGAUUCGGUUCCAAGGGUUGGGCUGUCCGCCCAUUAAAGCGGUACGCGAGCUGGGUUCAGAACGUCGUGAGACAGUUCGGUCCCUAUCUGUUGUGGGCGAAGGAGAUCUGCGGAGAGCUGUCCUCAGUACGAGAGGACCGGGAUGGACCUACCGCUGGUGCACCGGUUGUUCCGCCAGGGGCAUAGCCGGGUAGCUAAGUAGGGAAAGGAUAAGCGCUGAAAGCAUCUAAGCACGAAGCCUACUCCAAGAUGAGAUCUCCCAUUCGCAAGAAGUAAGACCCCUUAAAGACGAUAAGGUAGAUAGGCCAGGGAUGGAAGUGCAGUGAUGUACGGAGUUGACUGGUACUAAUCGGUCGAGGACUUAAU
RNAcentral lists this ribosomal RNA (1369 nucleotides) under metagenome. Its description in RNAcentral is "bacterial LSU rRNA". It matches the Rfam family "Bacterial large subunit ribosomal RNA", at positions 1540 to 2925 of the family's 2925-position model. The record is from RNAcentral.